This 341-nucleotide RNase P RNA is filed under the name Ilyobacter polytropus DSM 2926. RNAcentral's name for it is "Bacterial RNase P class A". It matches the Rfam family "Bacterial RNase P class A". Rfam says of the family: Ribonuclease P (RNase P) is a ubiquitous endoribonuclease, found in archaea, bacteria and eukarya as well as chloroplasts and mitochondria. The record is from Rfam by way of RNAcentral. Lineage: Bacteria; Fusobacteriati; Fusobacteriota; Fusobacteriia; Fusobacteriales; Fusobacteriaceae.
UAGGUAGUAAGGUUAAUCGCUGCCUGUGAAAACAGGGAGAGGAAAGUCCGGGCUCCGCAGGGCAGAGAGGGCAGUUAACGGCUGCUGAGGGAAACCUUAAGGAAAGUGCCACAGAAAAUAGACCGCCACUUGCUGGUAAGGGUGAAAAGGUGGUGUAAGAGACCACCAGUUUCUUAAGAGAUUAAGAAAGCUUGGUAAACCCCCUCUGGAGCAAGGCUAAAUAGGAGAGAAUAUGGGCUGCUCGUCCACUCUCAGGGUAAGCUGCUAGAGUCGAUAAGUAAUUAUAGACCUAGAUAAAUGAUUAACUCAGACAAAACCCGGCUUAUUUUACUACCUUUUUU